GCUCAUGUAGCUCAGUAGGUAGAGCAAUCCCCUUGUAACGGAUAGGUCGCAGGUUCGAUUCCUGUCAUGAGCU
This 73-nucleotide transfer RNA is filed under the name Lasius niger. It matches the Rfam family "tRNA". Rfam says of the family: Transfer RNA (tRNA) molecules are approximately 80 nucleotides in length. Their secondary structure includes four short double-helical elements and three loops (D, anti-codon, and T loops). Further hydrogen bonds mediate the characteristic L-shaped molecular structure. tRNAs have two regions of fundamental functional importance: the anti-codon, which is responsible for specific mRNA codon recognition, and the 3' end, to which the tRNAs corresponding amino acid is attached (by aminoacyl-tRNA synthetases). tRNAs cope with the degeneracy of the genetic code in two manners: having more than one tRNA (with a specific anti-codon) for a particular amino acid; and 'wobble' base-pairing, i.e. permitting non-standard base-pairing at the 3rd anti-codon position. Lineage: Eukaryota; Metazoa; Arthropoda; Insecta; Hymenoptera; Formicidae. The record is from Rfam by way of RNAcentral.